UAUCUCUUUUGCGAUAAUUAUCAAUAAAAGUCGAGAAUAAUCUUUCAAAAAUAUCGAUAUAUAUCUUUUCAAAAAAAUAUUUUUAUACAUAAAAUCAAAUUUAUCGUUUCACGCAUUACUUUAUGUGCUCGGUUGAAAAUACUUAUAUUCGAGGAUAAAAAAACAUAUUUCAAACAAAAUUUAUAAUAUAAUUUAUAAAUAAAAUCUUUUAGAAUAUGAGAUAGGCAAAUUAUACAUACCCAUAUUGAUAUCCAUGACAAUGUAUUCUUUUA
RNAcentral lists this long non-coding RNA (272 nucleotides) under Lathyrus oleraceus (garden pea). RNAcentral describes it as "Pisum sativum (pea) long non-coding RNA (PSAT_LNC014938)". The record is from RNAcentral. Lineage: Eukaryota; Viridiplantae; Streptophyta; Magnoliopsida; Fabales; Fabaceae.